UCCGCCCAGGGUGAGUCGGGACCUAAGGCGAGGCCGACAGGCGUAGUCGAUGGACAACGGGUUGAUAUUCCCGUACCCGUGUGUGCGCGCCCGUGAUGAAUCAAUUGUGCUAACCACCCAAAUGGUCGCUGAUCAAUCCCUUCGGGGUGCGACGGUGACCGGCUGCGUGGGACCCCGGUUGGUAGUAGUCAAGCGACGGGGUGACGCAGGAAGGUAGCUGUACCAGUCAGUGGUAAUACUGGGGCAAGCCCGUAGGGAGAGCGAUAGGCAAAUCCGUCGCUCAUACAUCCUGAGAGGUGACGCAUAGCCGAUUGAGGCGAAUUCAGUGAUCCUCUGCUGCCAAGAAAAGCCUCUAGCGAGUUCACACACGGCCCGUACCCCAAACCAACACAGGUGGUCAGGUAGAGAAUACCAAGGCGUACGAGAUAACUAUGGUUAAGGAACUCGGCAAAAUACCCCCGUAACUUCGGGAGAAGGGGGGCCGGCACAUCGUGAACACCUUUUCGGUGGGAGCGGAAGCCGGUCGCAGAAACCAGUGAGAAGCGACUGUUUACUAAAAACACAGGUCCGUGCGAAGUCGCAAGACGAUGUAUACGGACUGACGCCUGCCCGGUGCUGGAAGGUUAAGAGGACCCGUUAACUCGUAAGGGUGAAGCGGAGAAUUUAAGCCCCAGUAAACGGCGGUGGUAACUAUAACCAUCCUAAGGUAGCGAAAUUCCUUGUCGGGUAAGUUCCGACCUGCACGAAUGGCGUAACGACUUCUCAACUGUCUCAACCAUAGACUCGGCGAAAUUGCACUACGAGUAAAGAUGCUCGUUACGCGCGGCAGGACGAAAAGACCCCGGGACCUUCACUAUAGCUUGGUAUUGUUGUUCGGUACGGUUUGUGUAGGAUAGGUGGGAGACUGUGAAACCUCGACGCUAGUUGAGGUGGAGUCGUUGUUGAAAUACCACUCUGAUCGUAUUGGACACCUAACGUCGAACCGUAUAUCCGGUUCACGGACAGUGCCUGGUGGGUAGUUUAACUGGGGCGGUUGCCUCCUAAAAUGUAACGGAGGCGCCCAAAGGUUCCCUCAACCUGGACGGCAAUCAGGUGUUGAGUGUAAAUGCACAAGGGAGCUUGACUGCGAGACUUACAAGUCAAGCAGGGACGAAAGUCGGGAUUAGUGAUCCGGCACCUCUGAGUGGAAGGGGUGUCGCUCAACGGAUAAAAGGUACCCCGGGGAUAACAGGCUGAUCUUCCCCAAGAGUCCAUAUCGACGGGAUGGUUUGGCACCUCGAUGUCGGCUCGUCGCAUCCUGGGGCUGGAGCAGGUCCCAAGGGUUGGGCUGUUCGCCCAUUAAAGCGGCACGCGAGCUGGGUUUAGAACGUCGUGAGACAGUUCGGUCUCUAUCCGCCGCGCGCGUCAGAAACUUGAGGAAACCUGUCCCUAGUACGAGAGGACCGGGACGGACGAACCUCUAGUGCACCAGUUGUCCCACCAGGGGCACUGCUGGAUAGCUACGUUCGGACAGGAUAACCGCUGAAAGCAUCUAAGCGGGAAACCUUCUCCAAGAUCAGGUUUCUCACCCUCUAGGAGGGAUAAGGCCCCCAGCAGAACACUGGAUUGAUAGGCCAGACCUGGAAGCUCAGUAAUGAGUGCAGGGAACUGGCACUAACCGGCCGAAAACUUACCAACACAACC
RNAcentral lists this ribosomal RNA (1683 nucleotides) under Mycobacterium sp. RNAcentral's name for it is "bacterial LSU rRNA". It matches the Rfam family "Bacterial large subunit ribosomal RNA", at positions 1369 to 2925 of the family's 2925-position model. Lineage: Bacteria; Bacillati; Actinomycetota; Actinomycetes; Mycobacteriales; Mycobacteriaceae. The record is from RNAcentral.